This 253-nucleotide ribosomal RNA is filed under the name uncultured bacterium. RNAcentral describes it as "partial 16S ribosomal RNA". It matches the Rfam family "Bacterial small subunit ribosomal RNA", at positions 524 to 776 of the family's 1533-position model. The record is from RNAcentral.
UACGAACGGUCCAAGCGUUAAUCGGAAUUACUGGGCGUAAAGCGUGCGCAGGCGGUUGUGCAAGACCGAUGUGAAAUCCCCGGGCUUAACCUGGGAAUGGCAUUGGUGACUGCACGGCUAGAGUGUGUCAGAGGGGGGUAGAAUUCCACGUGUAGCAGUGAAAUGCGUAGAGAUGUGGAGGAAUACCGAUGGCGAAGGCAGCCCCCUGGGAUAACACUGACGCUCAUGCACGAAAGCGUGGGGAGCAAACAGG